UGAUACUAUACCAAACUUUGGAUGUUUUUCAUAACAUUACCACUCUAUACGAAGAGAUAAAGUCUUUGUUGUUCGAGGACGACGCACCACUUAAUUUCAUCUCCAACCCGGUAACAAGCUUUCUCGAAAACUACUUCAACCGGGUAAUAAACUUUCUCGGAAACUGCUUCAACUCGGUAACAAGCUUUCUCGGAAACUACUUUAACCUGGUAACAAGCUUUCUAGGAAACUGCUUCAACUUGGUAACAAACUUCUUCAACCCGGAAAACAAGAGCUUCGAGUAGUUUUAUUUUCCUCUUUCUUCUCAUUUUUGUUCACGUCAGCACUGCCCAAGACUCUGUUGGCUUUCAAAAUAUGUUCUCCAAAAGAUUACCAAGUAGGUUUUGUUUUCAUCUCUAAGAUUGUUUUCAAAUUAAUAUUA
Long non-coding RNA from Cicer arietinum (chickpea), 421 nucleotides. RefSeq lists it as uncharacterized. The record is from RefSeq and is a predicted model, not a curated record. Lineage: Eukaryota; Viridiplantae; Streptophyta; Magnoliopsida; Fabales; Fabaceae.